CCCCUAGAUGUCCUGGGCCGCACGCGCGUUACACUGAUGCAUUCAACGAGCUUAUAACCUUGGCCGAGAGGCCUGGGCAAUCUUGUUAACGUGCAUCGUGAUAGGGAUAGAUUAUUGAAAUUAUUAAUCUUGAACGAGGAAUUCCUAGUAAACGCAGAUCAUCAAUCUGCAUUGAUUACGUCCCUGCCCUUUGUACACACCGCCCGUCGCACCUACCGAUUGGAUGGUCCGGUGAAGCCUCGGGAUUGUGGUUCUUGCCGCUUUAUUGUGGCGUGACCGCGAGAACUUGUCUAAACCUUAUCAUCUAGAGGAAGGUGAAGUCGUAACAA
Molecule: ribosomal RNA, 329 nt
Filed under: uncultured eukaryote
Lineage: Eukaryota
Description: partial 18S ribosomal RNA
Rfam family: Eukaryotic small subunit ribosomal RNA
Source: RNAcentral